GUCGAGAGGCUUCGGCAAUGGGCGAAAGCCCGACCGAGCGACGCCGCGUGGGCGAUGAAGGCCUUCGGGUCGUAAAGCCCUGUCACAGGGGGGAGAAACGCAUCCAGCUGAACAGGCUGGGUGCCUGACGUUGCCCCUGGAGAAAGACCCGGCUAACUCCGUGCCAGCAGCCGCGGUAAUACGGAGGGGUCAAGCGUUAUUCGGAUUUACUGGGCGUAAAGGGCGCGUAGGCGGGAUCACGGGUCGGCCGUGAAAUCCACCGGCUCAACCGGUGAACUGCGGUCGAAACUGUGAUUCUUGAGCUUGGUAGAGGAAGGCGGAAUUCCUGGUGUAGCGGUGGAAUGCGUAGAUAUCAGGAAGAACACCGGUAGCGAAGGCGGCCUUCUGGGCCAUGGCUGACGCUGAGGCGCGAAAGCUGGGGGAGCAAACAGGCUUAGAUACCCCAGUAGUCC
This 452-nucleotide ribosomal RNA is filed under the name uncultured bacterium. RNAcentral's name for it is "bacterial SSU rRNA". It matches the Rfam family "Bacterial small subunit ribosomal RNA", at positions 354 to 796 of the family's 1533-position model. The record is from RNAcentral.